GUCCAGCUGACGAGUCCCGAAUAGAACGAAACACAUAUCCUGGAU
This 45-nucleotide non-coding RNA is filed under the name Schistosoma curassoni. Lineage: Eukaryota; Metazoa; Platyhelminthes; Trematoda; Strigeidida; Schistosomatidae. The record is from RNAcentral.